GUGGAUUAGAUACCCUGGUCGUCCACGCCCUAAACGAUGAACACUAGGUGUGGGGUGCAAAGCAUUCCGUGCCGCAGCUAACGCAAUAAGUGUUCCACCUGGGGAGUACGGCCGCAAGGUUGAAACUCAAAGGAAUUGACGGGAGCCCGCACAAGCAGUGGAGUAUGUGGUUUAAUUCGACGCAACGCGAAAAACCUUACCAAGGAUUGACAUCCAGAGAAGACCGAGUAAUGUUGGUUGUGCCCUUCGGGGAACUCUGAGACAGGUGGUGCACGGCCGUCGUCAGCU
This 288-nucleotide ribosomal RNA is filed under the name uncultured bacterium. RNAcentral describes it as "partial 16S ribosomal RNA". It matches the Rfam family "Bacterial small subunit ribosomal RNA", at positions 773 to 1060 of the family's 1533-position model. The record is from RNAcentral.